ACGGAAGGUGCAAGCGUUAUCCGGAAUCACUGGGUUUAAAGGGUGCGUAGGCGGCGUAAUAAGUCAGAGGUGAAAGCUCACAGCUUAACUGUGGAACUGCCUUUGAUACUGUUAUGCUUGAAUUAGGUUGAGGUUGGCGGAAUGAGUCAUGUAGCGGUGAAAUGCAUAGAUAUGACUUAGAACAUCGAUUGCGAAGGCAGCUGACUAGACCUUAAUUGACGCUGAGGCACGAAAGCGUGGGGAGCGAACAGG
This 252-nucleotide ribosomal RNA is filed under the name uncultured bacterium. RNAcentral describes it as "partial 16S ribosomal RNA". It matches the Rfam family "Bacterial small subunit ribosomal RNA", at positions 525 to 776 of the family's 1533-position model. The record is from RNAcentral.